UCUAAUAUGGCAGAUUAGUGCAUUGAAUUUAAGCUUCAAAUAUAAAAUAACUUUUUGUUAGAA
This 63-nucleotide transfer RNA is filed under the name Paracaecilius japanus. Its description in RNAcentral is "tRNA-Leu". Lineage: Eukaryota; Metazoa; Arthropoda; Insecta; Psocodea; Caeciliusidae. The record is from RNAcentral.